Molecule: small RNA, 35 nt
Filed under: Arabidopsis thaliana (thale cress)
Lineage: Eukaryota; Viridiplantae; Streptophyta; Magnoliopsida; Brassicales; Brassicaceae
Description: ATSL183280
Source: RNAcentral
ACAGUUUUGUUAUUGCUCUUCUUUUUUUCUUCUUU